Molecule: long non-coding RNA, 459 nt
Organism: Homo sapiens (human)
Lineage: Eukaryota; Metazoa; Chordata; Mammalia; Primates; Hominidae
Exons: 2
Source: RefSeq, a predicted model, not a curated record
ACAGAGUGAGACUCCGUCUCAAAAAAGAAAGAAAUAAAAGUACUGCAUAAUGUCAUUAAUAAUAAAUAAUACCUAUUGGUGUCCCUUACGACAGAGACUCGAGUAGUGGUGAGGUAGUGUUGUGUCAGUCUGGCUACUUUACUGAUGGUGUCCAUGUUUCUGAGUGUCAUCAGGGAGAUGGCAGCGACGAGGGAGAUGGCCCAUUUCCUGUUCCUGCUACAGUAGAGCAGGGGCUCUUUGGACAGUGUCUAUGCUGGCCCUCUGGGGAGGACAAGAUUUCCUGCUCAGCACCGUCUGGGUCUCAGAGAAAAAGGCUCAGCCACCAAGUGUGUCCUAGGCGGUGGGGAAGAUAAAGGUUUGGCAUCCUGGGUGGAAGAAACACCCAAAGGAAGAGAACGUUUUAGAUUCUGGAGCCUGGGCAGCACAAAUAAAGGCUCUGACUGGCUCUGGUUUGGGAAA